CUCAACUGUAUGAAGAAGAGCAACAUGGUAACUACAGACCAGUAAACCAAUAUGGGUGUGGUAGUGCACACCUGUAAUCCAAGCUACUUGGGAGGCUGAGGCGGGAGAAUCGCUUGAACCCUGGAGGCAGAGGUUGCAAUGAGCCAAGACUGUGCCACUGCACUCCAGCCUGGGCGACAGAGUGGACCCUGUCUCAAAAUAAAUAAAUAGUAAAUAAAUAACUGUCCACUAGGGAUCUCAAGGCCAGGUUGCCAGUGGUCAGUGGUGGCUAUUUUUCAUGUCAUUGUACUAUCUCUUACCAUCUGACCAGACUCAUCCUUCCAUUCCAUCCGCCUACCCCCUGUCUCUGAGUCAUCAGAUGACUAAGCAUACCUAUGGGUUGGUACUGUUGGCGUGAAUGCGGUGAUUCAGGUCGUAAGUGGGCCCACCACACAGAAGGCUCCCGAAAAGAUCCUCGGGGAAAAUGGACAGACAUCAUUAGUGAAAGAGAAAAGCAAAGUAUCCCCAAAGCCUACCCAUUAAUAGUGGUCUGAACACAGGGCAUUGCCGCAUUACUCUUCCUGGCUCCCUAAUUCCCAUGUGUGUGAAGUGUGACUGUAAUUACGAUGAAAGCUAAAUGAAUUAAAUAUGAUUUUCUUUUUUUUUUUUUUUUUUUGGAGACGGAGUCUCGCUCUGUUGCCCAGGCUGGAUGUGGCGUGAUCUCGGCUCACUGUAACCUCUACCUCCCGGGUUCAAGCGAUGCUCCUGCCUCAGCCUCCUGAGUAGCUGGAACUAUAGGCACCCACCACCACACCCAGCUACUUUUUUUAUUUUUAGUAGAGAUGGGGUUUCACUAUUUUGGCCAGGCUGGUCUCGAAAUCCUGACCUCAGGUGAUCCACCUGCCUUGGCCUCCCAAAGUGCUGGGAUUACAGGCAUGAGCCACUGCUCCCAGCCAAUUUUCUUUAGUAUCUCAUCUUUUAGCAUGACACCAAUGGACAAGUCUAAUGGGAAUUACAAUAACAUGGAAAUUGGAUCUUUCCUACCGUCAGCAAAAAUGUCAAGACCACAAAAGACAAAACAAACAAACAAAAAACUAUCUAAGCGAAUAAAAUAGUAGAGGCAAACAGAAAUAUGAGAACAAAGGCAUCUAAAAAAGAUGCUUAAGAAAAAAACUUUGGGGAGGCCGAGGCAGGCGGGAUCACUUGAGUUUCAGGAGUUCGAGGCCAGCCUGGCCAACAUGGUGAAACCCUGUCUCUACUUAAAAAAAAAAAAAAAAAAAAAAAAAAAAACAAAAAUUAGCUGGAUGUGGUGGCAGGAAACUGUAAUCCCAGCUACUCAG
Molecule: long non-coding RNA, 1319 nt
Filed under: Homo sapiens (human)
Lineage: Eukaryota; Metazoa; Chordata; Mammalia; Primates; Hominidae
Description: non-protein coding lnc-DHRSX-3:1
Source: RNAcentral